GGGGGGGGGGGCUAGCGUUGUUCGGAUUUACUGGGCGUAAAGGGCUCGUAGGCGGCCAUCUAAGUCGGUUGUGAAAUCCCUCGGGCUCAACCGGGGAACUGCGAUCGAGACUGGAAGGCUUGAAGCCGGGAGAGGGAUGCGGAAUUCCAGGUGUAGCGGUGAAAUGCGUAGAUAUCUGGAGGAACACCCGUGGCGAAGGCGGCAUCCUGGACCGGUCUUGACGCUGAGGAGCGAAAGCUAGGGUAGCAAACGGGAUUAGAUACCCCGGUAGUCCUAGCCGUAAACGAUGAGUGCUUGGUGUGGCGGGUAUCGAUCCCUGCCGUGCCGUAGCUAACGCGUUAAGCACUCCGCCUGGGGAGUACGGUCGCAAAGGCUG
RNAcentral lists this ribosomal RNA (376 nucleotides) under uncultured organism. Its description in RNAcentral is "partial 16S ribosomal RNA". It matches the Rfam family "Bacterial small subunit ribosomal RNA", at positions 524 to 896 of the family's 1533-position model. The record is from RNAcentral.